GUGUAAUAACAAUAAUAAUAAAAUUGUGCUUCUUGAAUGGAACCGAUCCAUAUUGAUUCAUUGAUUACAAUACAUCGGCAAAGAUUGCCUUGUUGUUUUUUGCACAUAUAACCAGAUUCCAGAAUCGAGGAAAAAACCUAAAUUUCAUGGAUCCAUCACAGUGAAUAAUCUCAGGAAUAAUCAACAGACCAACAACCCAACCAAACAACAAAAACAAAGACGACGCCGAC
Molecule: non-coding RNA, 230 nt
Organism: Dermatophagoides farinae (American house dust mite)
Lineage: Eukaryota; Metazoa; Arthropoda; Arachnida; Sarcoptiformes; Pyroglyphidae
Source: RefSeq, a predicted model, not a curated record